GCCAGACUCCUACGGGAGGCAGCAGUGGGGAAUAUUGCGCAAUGGGGGCAACCCUGACGCAGCAACGCCGCGUGCGGGACGAAGGCCUUCGGGUUGUAAACCGCUUUCAGCAGGGAAGAACCAUGACGGUACCUGCAGAAGAAGCCCCGGCUAACUCCGUGCCAGCAGCCGCGGUAAUACGGAGGGUGCGAGCGUUAAUCGGAAUUACUGGGCGUAAAGCGCUCGUAGGCGGUAUGUCAAGUCAAGGGUGAAAUCCCCGCGCUCAACGUGGGAACUGCCUUUGAAACUGGCAAACUGGAGUGUGUGAGAGGAUAGUGGAAUUCCAGGUGUAGGAGUGAAAUCCGUAGAUAUCUGGAGGAACAUCAGUGGCGAAGGCGACUAUCUGGCACAUAACUGACGCUGAGGAGCGAAAGCGUGGGUAGCAAACAGGAUUAGAUACCCGAGUAA
RNAcentral lists this ribosomal RNA (447 nucleotides) under uncultured bacterium. Its description in RNAcentral is "bacterial SSU rRNA". It matches the Rfam family "Bacterial small subunit ribosomal RNA", at positions 330 to 793 of the family's 1533-position model. The record is from RNAcentral.